AUUAUCUUUACAAUAAAAGUUUUUAGUUUAACUAAAAUAUAAGCUUACCUGCGGUAUACUGCAGGUUAAAAUUAUAAAUAGGUAGAUUACCAUCACGAUGUAUGUACCUUCUCAGAUACACACCUAUCAAAAACUUAAAACCUUUCAAAAUCUCUUGGUAUAUUCAAAUUAAGAUUCUUCAUUCAUGGAAUCAUUAUUCCAAGGGUUUUGGGAUGUCUUAUGAAUAAUUUUGGCAGAAGAGGAUGUAAAAUUUUUUGAAUAAAAAGUAGUCAGCAAAAUAUAUGUUUUUUGGGGAGUUUUUAGAUCAUUAAAUCAGAGAAUAGGGCUGGCAUAUGAGUAACUCAUUCGAGUUCGGGUAGAACCCGUUCGGGUUUGGGAUUAAUGGGUAUAUUAUUUACUACCCAAUAGAAUAAUUCUAAAUAUUUGGUUCUGGUUUGGGUCGGGUCCAUUUGGGUUUGGGUCAGUUUGGAUAAAAAGUUUCAUGCCCUAAAAAUACCCAAAAAAUAGAAACGGGUAUUUGUUUGUAGAUAGAGGGUCUCCAAACAAAAA
Molecule: small RNA, 549 nt
Filed under: Arabidopsis thaliana (thale cress)
Lineage: Eukaryota; Viridiplantae; Streptophyta; Magnoliopsida; Brassicales; Brassicaceae
Description: ATSL240220
Source: RNAcentral